RNAcentral lists this long non-coding RNA (1199 nucleotides) under Marmota monax (woodchuck). The record is from RNAcentral. Lineage: Eukaryota; Metazoa; Chordata; Mammalia; Rodentia; Sciuridae.
GUAAAUGUUAAUUGGAAUGUGUCAGGUAACAUCUUAUUGGAAAGAAGACAUUUCAGAAAAAUAUUGGGGCCUGAAAUUUCCUUUUAGAAAAUCUCUAGUUUUUUGAAUAAAUAGGAUGAAGAGAAGCAUUGUAGGGCAAUUAUGUUGCAUAAGAAAAAGGGGUGCCAUUUACAUGGAUUGCAAAUGGUGUCCACUGGAUUUGCACAAAAGGGCAGCCUUCACUGAAUUUGGAGAAACACUGACAAUCUUCUAGACUCAGGCAUAUGAUGAUUCUGGUUUGUUUGCUUUUCUGAGCAACUGAGUGGAUGAUGGUACCAUUUAGAGAGAUACAAAAUAUUAGGGAAGGAAUGACAUUUGGGGCAGGGCAGUAACCAAGAGUUUUCUAUGGGGAGGUCAAGUUUGAGAAGUUGAGGAUGCCAUUGGAUACACUAGGUUAAAGCUAAGGGGAAAGGUUGAAGCUAGAGGUAAAUUUGGGGAGUUAUCAGUGCAUACAGAAUCCUUAAUGCCAUGGGAUUGAAUGAGAUGUUUCAGAAAGGGAGACUGGAGGAAGAAGAGAAGAGGGCCUAGAAUUGGGCCCAAGUGUCCUCUAACAUCUAGAAGUCAGGAAAAGGAAGAGAGCCAGCAAAGAGAUUGAAAUGAGCAACUACGAUUUAAUACCUAGACAAGUGCUUUAAGGAAAGUCCUGUGCUGGGCCAUGUGCUGUGGAUCGGCACUGAAGUCCUACUGAUUCUUUCCCCUGUGGAUUUUGUAAUAUGUCCUCUUCCCCGCAAAACUGAUGACUGUUUCUGGAAGGAUCCCUUUGCAUCUCAAUUAAGUUUCUCACAAUCCAUGCUUAUUGCUAUUACCAGAGUGGGUUAUCCCUCUAAAAGUGUAAAUACUAUCAGUCACAUACUAGCUUAAAACUAGGCAAUGGCUUUCCAUUUCCCAUAGAAUUUAUUCUAAAUCCUUAAUUUAUUAUGAGGCCCUUUUUCACCUGAAAUUUUGCUCCCCACUGCCGCAGUCUGGCUGGGCACAAAUGCCGCAGUCUGGCUGGGCACACAAUCACGAGCCACCACACAGCUUGUAGAUUCAAACAGCAACUCUUUAUUCCCGACCUCACACCAGCCGUCUACAAUCACGUUCUGGGGAAAUCCACGUUCUCUUCCCAAAUCCCCCUCCACUGGGCUUCUAUCUCCAAAAUAUACUGUCUGAAUCCCGUG